Molecule: ribosomal RNA, 350 nt
Filed under: uncultured Succinivibrio sp.
Lineage: Bacteria; Pseudomonadati; Pseudomonadota; Gammaproteobacteria; Aeromonadales; Succinivibrionaceae
Description: bacterial SSU rRNA
Rfam family: Bacterial small subunit ribosomal RNA
Source: RNAcentral
UGAGGAAUAUUGGUCAAUGGGCGAGAGCCUGAACCAGCCAAGUAGCGUGCAGGAAGACGGCCCUAUGGGUUGUAAACUGCUUUUAUAAGGGAAUAAAGUGGGUCACGUGUGACUUUUUGCAUGUACCUUAUGAAUAAGGACCGGCUAAUCCGUGCCAGCAGCCGCGGUAAUACGGAGGGUGCAAGCGUUAAUCGGAAUAACUGGGCGUAAAGGGCAUGCAGGCGGUUAUAGAAGUAGGAUGUGAAAUCCCGGGGCUCAACCUCGGAACUGCAUUCUAAACUGAAUAACUAGAGUAUUGCAGGGGGAGACGGAAUUCCAGGUGUAGCGGUGGAAUGCGUAGAGAUCUGGAA